Molecule: long non-coding RNA, 162 nt
Organism: Salvelinus fontinalis (brook trout)
Lineage: Eukaryota; Metazoa; Chordata; Actinopteri; Salmoniformes; Salmonidae
Exons: 3
Source: RefSeq, a predicted model, not a curated record
GCAGGUUGUGGGUAGCUAGAGAGGUAGUCUGAAUAAAGGCAGGUUGUGGAGAGGUAGUCUGAAUAAAGGCAGGUUGUGGGUAGCUAGAGAGGCAGUCUGAAUAAAGGCAGGUUGUGGGUAGCUAGAGAGGUAGUCUGAAUAAAGGCAGGUUGUGGAGAGGUA